GCAGUUCAGUGUUAGGGCAUCUGCUUUGCAUGCAGAAGGUCCUACAUUCAAUCCCUGGCAUCUACA
This is a non-coding RNA of Podarcis lilfordi (Lilford's wall lizard), 66 nucleotides long. Lineage: Eukaryota; Metazoa; Chordata; Lepidosauria; Squamata; Lacertidae. The record is from the annotation of a GenBank genome assembly.